UUUUUUUUUUUUUUGAGACAGAGUCUUGCUCUAUCACCAGGCUGGAGUGCAGUGGCAUGAUUCCGGUCCACUGCAACUUCCAUGUUCCUUGGUCAAGCAAUUCUCCUGCCUCAGCCUCCUGAGUAGCCGGGUUUACAGGCACGCACCACCAUGCCCAGCUAAUUUUU
This is a long non-coding RNA of Sapajus apella (tufted capuchin), 167 nucleotides long. RefSeq lists it as uncharacterized. The transcript has 3 exons. NCBI's taxonomy places the organism in Eukaryota, Metazoa, Chordata, Mammalia, Primates, Cebidae. The record is from RefSeq and is a predicted model, not a curated record.